GAUGAACGCUGGCGGCGUGCCUAAUACAUGCAAGUCGAGCGAACAGACGAGGAGCUUGCCCCUCUGACGUUAGCGGCGGACGGGUGAGUAACACGUGGAUAACCUACCUAUAAGACUGGGAUAACUUCGGGAGACCGGAGCUAAUACCGGAUAAUAUAUUGAACCGCAUGGUUCAAUAGUGAAAGACGGUUUUGCUGUCACUUAUAGAUGGAUCCGCGCCGCAUUAGCUAGUUGGUAAGGUAACGGCUUACCUAGGCAACGAUGCGUAGCCGACCUGAGAGGGUGAUCGGCCACACUGGAACUGAGACACGGUCCAGACUCCUACGGGAGGCAGCAGUAGGGAAUCUUCCGCAAUGGGCGAAAGCCUGACGGAGCAACGCCGCGUGAGUGAUGAAGGUCUUCGGAUCGUAAAACUCUGUUAUUAGGGAAGAACAAAUGUGUAAGUAACUAUGCACGUCUUGACGGUACCUAAUCAGAAAGCCACGGCUAACUACGUG
Molecule: ribosomal RNA, 497 nt
Filed under: uncultured bacterium
Lineage: Bacteria
Description: partial 16S ribosomal RNA
Rfam family: Bacterial small subunit ribosomal RNA
Source: RNAcentral